GGGGAAUUUUGGACAAUGGGGGCAACCCUGAUCCAGCCAUUCCGCGUGAGUGAAGAAGGCCUUCGGGUUGUAAAGCUCUUUCGGCAGGAACGAAACGGUGAGGGCUAAUAUCCCUUGCUAAUGACGGUACCUGAAGAAGAAGCACCGGCUAACUACGUGCCAGCAGCCGCGGUAAUACGUAGGGUGCGAGCGUUAAUCGGAAUUACUGGGCGUAAAGCGUGCGCAGGCGGUUUUGUAAGACAGCUGUGAAAUCCCCGGGCUUAACCUGGGAACUGCGGUUGUGACUGCAAGACUGGAGUGCGGCAGAGGGGGGUGGAAUUCCACGUGUAGCAGUGAAAUGCGUAGAGAUGUGGAGGAACACCGAUGGCGAAGGCAGCCCCCUGGGUCGACACUGACGCUCAUGCACGAAAGCGUGGGGAGCAAAC
RNAcentral lists this ribosomal RNA (425 nucleotides) under uncultured bacterium. RNAcentral describes it as "bacterial SSU rRNA". It matches the Rfam family "Bacterial small subunit ribosomal RNA", at positions 356 to 773 of the family's 1533-position model. The record is from RNAcentral.